RNAcentral lists this ribosomal RNA (441 nucleotides) under uncultured bacterium. Its description in RNAcentral is "partial 16S ribosomal RNA". It matches the Rfam family "Bacterial small subunit ribosomal RNA", at positions 338 to 795 of the family's 1533-position model. The record is from RNAcentral.
CCUACGGGAGGCAGCAGUGGGGAAUAUUGCACAAUGGGGGGAACCCUGAUGCAGCGACGCCGCGUGGGUGAAGGAGUAUUUCGGUAUGUAAAGCCCUAUCAGCAGGGAAGAACAAUGACGGUACCUGACUAAGAAGCACCGGCUAAAUACGUGCCAGCAGCCGCGGUAAUACGUAUGGUGCAAGCGUUAUCCGGAUUUACUGGGUGGAAAGGGAGCGCAGGCGGCGCGUUAAGCCUGGUGUGAAAGCCCGCGGCCCAACCGCGGGACUGCAUUGGGAACUGGCGCGCUGGAGUGCCGGAGGGGUAGGCGGAAUUCCUAGUGUAGCGGUGAAAUGCGUAGAUAUUAGGAGGAACACCAGUGGUGAAGGCAGCUUACUAAACUGCCACUGACAUUGAUGCUCGAAAGUGUGGGUAUCAAACAGGAUUAGAUACCCUAGUAGUC